GACGAACGCUGGCGGCGUGCCUAACACAUGCAAGUCGAGCGGAGGCAUCUGAAGAGCAAUCGGAGGGUGCCUGAGCGGCGGACGGGUGAGUAACGCGUGAGCAACCUGCCUUUCACAGGGGGAUAACGCAGCGAAAGCUGCACUAAUACCGCAUGAGACCACAAUGGCGAUGCCAAAGGGGUCAAAGGAGCGAUCCGGUGAGAGAUGGGCUCGCGUCCGAUUAGGUAGUUGGUGAGGUAAAGGCCCACCAAGCCAAUGAUCGGUAGCCGGCCUGAGAGGGUGAACGGCCACAUUGGAACUGAGAGACGGUCCAAACUCCUACGGGUGCUG
Molecule: ribosomal RNA, 330 nt
Filed under: uncultured Bacillota bacterium
Lineage: Bacteria; Bacillati; Bacillota
Description: bacterial SSU rRNA
Rfam family: Bacterial small subunit ribosomal RNA
Source: RNAcentral